AGGGUAGGUCGGGCAACCGCGGGGAGUCAAAACUCCCUGAGGAAAGUCCGAGCUCCACAGAGCAGGGUGCUGGGUAACACCCAGUGGGGGUAACCCCAGGAAAGUGCCACAGAAAACAUACCGCCCCGGAAGGGGUAAGGGUGAAAAGGUGAGGUAAGAGCUCACCGGACGCCGGGUGACCGGCGUGCCUGGCAAACCCCACCCGGAGCAAGGCUAAAUAGGAAGGGAUGAGGUGGCUCGCUGACCUUCGGGUUAGCCGCUUGAGGAGUGGGGCAACCCACUCCCCAGAUAGAUGGUUGCCACUCUCUCUCAGGGAGAGUACAGAACUCGGCUUACAGACCUGCCCUCCUC
RNAcentral lists this RNase P RNA (351 nucleotides) under Candidatus Caldatribacterium saccharofermentans. RNAcentral describes it as "RNase P RNA component class A". It matches the Rfam family "Bacterial RNase P class A". From Rfam's summary of the family: Ribonuclease P (RNase P) is a ubiquitous endoribonuclease, found in archaea, bacteria and eukarya as well as chloroplasts and mitochondria. Its best characterised activity is the generation of mature 5'-ends of tRNAs by cleaving the 5'-leader elements of precursor-tRNAs. Lineage: Bacteria; Pseudomonadati; Atribacterota; Atribacteria; Atribacterales; Candidatus Caldatribacteriaceae. The record is from RNAcentral.